CUAUGUUUGUCUGACCAGGGCAGUGUGUACCUUUGCCAACCAGUUACUGGAUGAGCCUGAGUGUUGGCAAUUUUCUAAUGGAAACAUUCUCACUCUUACCAAGUUUUGAGAGCCAGGAUGAGCAGUCCCUUGGGCCGACCAUCAUGCCUCGGACCUCAUGGGGAUGUGGUCAGCCGCCGUUGACUGGAGGCACUUUCCUUGCCACAGGCUCCUAGGCUUUGUCCACUGCUGUGCUGUGGAUGUGACAGGCAUACCCUGAAAACCCUAGGCGCCACUUCCAUUUCUCAGUUCACCAUGGGCUUCAACAAACUGGGAGGAGGAAAAAACAGAAACAGAUCCUUUCAACAAACAUGUAAAUUACAUAAGACUUACCUAGAGAUAGGGCAACGAUGAAUAGUAGGAAGCACAUUGAAUGGGAAACUUGAGGGCCAAGGUACAGGCCAACAGCUGUCAUCUUAGCCACAUGACAUCAGCUGGGUUGUUUCACCUCUCUGGGCCGCAGCUUCUUCAUCUGUCAGAUGACAGAUUAGACUAGAAUGAAUUCUAAUUUCCCUUUCAGUUUUGACAGUCAAUGAUGCUAAUCUGUGAUCUGAAAACCUGAGUAGAAAUUGGCAUGGUGAGAGAGCACAAUUAGGUAAUGAAAAUUCACUAGAAUCCCUGUUUCAUGAGGAAGGAAGAAAGGAAGGCAGGAAGGCAGGAAGGCAGGGAGGGAAAGAAAAGGAAGGGAGAGAAAGAAAAGAGAGAGAUUGAUUCAAGAGUCAUAAGUAAAACAUACAAACACACACACACACACACACACACACACAAAUAUUGCAGAAAAGAUCAUGCCGAGUAAGAGGCUGAACUCUUUUUGUCCAUAAAAACAGAGCCCAGGUACCUGGGUGGUGACAGCACAGCCCACUUCAUCAAGGAAGUUGAAAUGGAAAAAGAUUAUGUGUUGUCAAUUCAGGUGAAAGUCAAGAAACAUCAGUGGAAACCAAAAUCUUCCUUUUAUUGAAACCAUUCUACAUUAUGGAACAUUUUUACAAAUAGUACCAGCGGCAUUGCAUAGCUUUAUUUUGCAGCAAGAAAGAGACUUCAAAGAUCAGCUUAUUCAACCCUCUAUAAAAGGAUUUAUAGAUUCCUUUUAUUAAGUAGAGUGAUUUUCUCAUGAGUUUUCACCAUGUUUAAAAGACACUGUGCCCCACUCUCUUCCCAAGGUCUAUGGUCAACUUGACUCAAUGCUCUUAACUUUCCUUACUGAUUCCUGCUUAUC
Molecule: long non-coding RNA, 1255 nt
Filed under: Macaca fascicularis (crab-eating macaque)
Lineage: Eukaryota; Metazoa; Chordata; Mammalia; Primates; Cercopithecidae
Description: lncRNA (ENSMFAG00000054431.1)
Source: RNAcentral